CGUCGCCGCGGGAAUACGGAGGGUGCAAGCGUUAAUCGGAAUUACUGGGCGUAAAGCGCACGCAGGCGGUCUGUCAAGUCAGAUGUGAAAUCCCCGGGCUUAACCUGGGAACUGCAUUUGAAACUGGCAGGCUAGAGUCUUGUAGAGGGGGGUAGAAUUCCAGGUGUAGCGGUGAAAUGCGUAGAGAUCUGGAGGAAUACCGGUGGCGAAGGCGGCCCCCUGGACAAAGACUGACGCUCAGGUGCGAAAGCGUGGGGAGCAAACAGGAUUAGAUACCCGAGUAGUCCCUGUCUCUUAUACA
This 301-nucleotide ribosomal RNA is filed under the name uncultured bacterium. Its description in RNAcentral is "partial 16S ribosomal RNA". It matches the Rfam family "Bacterial small subunit ribosomal RNA", at positions 510 to 808 of the family's 1533-position model. The record is from RNAcentral.